Molecule: ribosomal RNA, 439 nt
Filed under: uncultured bacterium
Lineage: Bacteria
Description: partial 16S ribosomal RNA
Rfam family: Bacterial small subunit ribosomal RNA
Source: RNAcentral
CUACGGGAGGCUGCAGUGGGGAAUAUUGGACAAUGGGCGAAAGCCUGAUCCAGCAAUGCCGCGUGAGUGAAGAAGGCCUUAGGGUUGUAAAGCUCUUUUACCCGGGAUGAUAAUGACAGUACCGGGAGAAUAAGCUCCGGCUAACUCCGUGCCAGCAGCCGCGGUAAUACGGAGGGGGCUAGCGUUGUUCGGAAUUACUGGGCGUAAAGCGCACGUAGGCGGCUACUCAAGUCAGAGGUGAAAGCCCGGGGCUCAACCCCGGAACUGCCUUUGAAACUAGGUAGCUAGAAUCUUGGAGAGGUCAGUGGAAUUCCGAGUGUAGAGGUGAAAUUCGUAGAUAUUCGGAAGAACACCAGUGGCGAAGGCGACUGACUGGACAAGUAUUGACGCUGAGGUGCGAAAGCGUGGGGAGCAAACAGGAUUAGAUACCCCUGUAGUC